RNAcentral lists this unclassified non-coding RNA (316 nucleotides) under uncultured fungus. Its description in RNAcentral is "partial contains 5.8S ribosomal RNA and internal transcribed spacer 2". The stretch from base 1 to 133 matches the Rfam family "5.8S ribosomal RNA", at positions 22 to 154 of the family's 154-position model. Lineage: Eukaryota; Fungi. The record is from RNAcentral.
UGGUUCUGGCAUCGAUGAAGAACGCAGCGAAAUGCGAUAAGUAAUGUGAAUUGCAGAAUUCAGCGAAUCAUCGAAUUUUUGAACGCACAUUGCACCUCAGAGUAUUCUUUGAGGUAUACCUGUUCGAGCGUCGUUAAACUUCUAAGGCAUCGCCUUGCGUUGAAUGUUUGGGUGUCCAACAUUCCAAACAUCUGGCAUGAAAAGUAUAGCUAGUAACACACAAACGUGUCACUGUCCUACUAUCUUCAUCUGCCCAAAUUUCGUUCGUUAACCGCGACGUAAAUUCGACCUCGGAUCAAGUAAGAUUACCCGCUGA